GUGAAUCAUCAAAUUUUUGAACGCAAAUUGCACUCUCUGGCAUUCCGGAGAGUAUGCCUGUUUGAGGGUCAGUUUAAAUAAAAAUCGGUGUGAUCGCUGCCUUUCUUGGUGACGCGCCGGGUUUGGGCCGUCUUGCCUUCGAUUAAGUGACCUAGAAUUGUGCAUGAUUUUUUCUAACGCAUUUAAAUG
RNAcentral lists this unclassified non-coding RNA (189 nucleotides) under Glomeraceae sp. Its description in RNAcentral is "partial contains 5.8S ribosomal RNA and internal transcribed spacer 2". The stretch from base 1 to 71 matches the Rfam family "5.8S ribosomal RNA", at positions 84 to 154 of the family's 154-position model. Lineage: Eukaryota; Fungi; Glomeromycota; Glomeromycetes; Glomerales; Glomeraceae. The record is from RNAcentral.